GCUCUUCUAGAAGAAUGGUAUAUCUAUGAGCCUUGAAUCUCAGGGUUGUGGGUUCGAGCCCCGUGUUGGGCA
Molecule: non-coding RNA, 72 nt
Organism: Podarcis lilfordi (Lilford's wall lizard)
Lineage: Eukaryota; Metazoa; Chordata; Lepidosauria; Squamata; Lacertidae
Source: the annotation of a GenBank genome assembly